This 54-nucleotide transfer RNA is filed under the name Gnathostoma binucleatum. RNAcentral describes it as "tRNA-Leu". Lineage: Eukaryota; Metazoa; Nematoda; Chromadorea; Rhabditida; Gnathostomatidae. The record is from RNAcentral.
UUGAUAUAGCAUAAGAAGUGUAUUUGUUUUAAGCGCAAAAGAUAAAAAUCAAUU